AGAGUUUGAUCCUGGCUCAGAACGAACGCUGGCGGCAGGCUUAACACAUGCAAGUCGAAGGUGAAGCAGGACUUCGGUCCUGUGGAAACUGGCGCACGGGUGAGUAACGCGUGGGAAUCUACAUUGGGGUGGGGAAUAACCGCUGGAAACGGCGGCUAAUACCGCAUACGCCUUGCGAGGGAAAGCUUUUGCGCCCUGAGAUGAGCCCGCGUCGGAUUAGCUUGUUGGUGGGGUAAAAGCCCACCAAGGCGACGAUCCGUAGCUGGUCUGAGAGGAUGAUCAGCCACACUGGGACUGAGACACGGCCCAGACUCCUACGGGAGGCAGCAGUGGGGAAUAUUGGACAAUGGGGGCAACCCUGAUCCAGCCAUGCCGCGUGCGUGAAGAAGGCCUUAGGGUUGUAAAGCGCUUUCGGCGGGGAAGAUGAUGACGGUACCCGCAGAAGAAGCCCCGGCUAACUCCGUGCCAGCAGCCGCGGUAAUACGGAGGGGGCAAGCGUUGUUCGGAAUUACUGGGCGUAAAGGGCGCGUAGGCGGACCAUCAUGUCAGGGGUGAAAGCCCUGGGCUCAACCUGGGAACUGCCCUUGAAACUGAUGGUCUAAAGUCCGAGAGAGGAUGGCGGAAUUCCCAGUGUAGAGGUGAAAUUCGU
Molecule: ribosomal RNA, 649 nt
Filed under: uncultured bacterium
Lineage: Bacteria
Description: bacterial SSU rRNA
Rfam family: Bacterial small subunit ribosomal RNA
Source: RNAcentral